This 393-nucleotide ribosomal RNA is filed under the name uncultured bacterium. Its description in RNAcentral is "bacterial SSU rRNA". It matches the Rfam family "Bacterial small subunit ribosomal RNA", at positions 505 to 898 of the family's 1533-position model. The record is from RNAcentral.
GUGUCAGCCGCCGCGGUAAUACGAAGGGGGCUAGCGUUGUUCGGAAUUACUGGGCGUAAAGCGCGCGCAGGUGGUUUCUCAAGUCAGUGGUGAAAGCCCGGAGCUCAACUCCGGAACUGCCAUUGAAACUGUGGAACUCGAGGACGAGAGAGGUGAGUGGAAUUCCCAGUGUAGAGGUGAAAUUCGUAGAUAUUGGGAAGAACACCGGUGGCGAAGGCGGCUCACUGGCUCGUAUCUGACACUCAAGCGCGACAGCGUGGGGAUCAAACAGGAUUAGAUACCCUGGUAGUCCACGCCGUAAACGAUGAUUGCUAGCCGUUGGCCAGCUUGCUGGUCAGUGGCGCAGCUAACGCAUUAAGCAAUCCGCCUGGGGAGUACGGCCGCAAGGUUGAA